Molecule: long non-coding RNA, 1418 nt
Organism: Panicum virgatum (switchgrass)
Lineage: Eukaryota; Viridiplantae; Streptophyta; Magnoliopsida; Poales; Poaceae
Exons: 2
Source: RefSeq, a predicted model, not a curated record
AAAUCGAGCUGAGACUCGCCGUUGCGCCGCUGCAACUCGCCAAGCCAGGGCCCCGGCCGCGCUCGCUCUCGUUCGCGCACGCGCAACACGCCGGCCCCACGACGGGACCGCGCACUGCCGCCGACACCACGCCGUGCCGCCCAUCGCUGUGUCCCCACCUCGCCCACGCUGCUGCCGCGUCCUCGCCGGCUUUGCCGCCUCGACGCGCGCGCGCUUCAACGCUGCCGCUGUGCACGUUGACGCCGAGCUGCCACGCCGUCAUCCUUGCCGCUGUCCGCCUCGCCUAUAAAAAGGAGCGAGGCCGUGCCGAAGUCCGUCACCAGCACAAGCUCAGCCAGCACAAGCUCAGCGAGCCGCCUCGCUUCGCUAGCUGAACCACUCCUCACAAGCCCAGCUAGAUCACUCUAUCUCUCUGCUCCACUCUCGGGACGAAGCUCCAGUGGUUGACUCUCUUCCUUGAGCUGUUAUGCACCAAGUGAGAUGACAGCCAGCUUCCCCAUCCCGAGCCCAGAAAGCUACGGCCAUGGUUGCCACGCGGCCGAAGCCGACCUGCACCGCCCAUGCUCGAAGUCACCAAAAUGGAAUCCCCUCGCCCUCCUCUCUCUCCCCAUAUGCUCAGUUUUCCGUAUGGUAACCCGAGCUGCCGUGCGGCAAGCUCCCAAGAGCUCGGCAUGCCGAUGCAUGGGGAAGGCAAGGAGCACGAAGCCCCUGUAUCCUGCAUGCACGUGUUCCCUCUGUUCCUUCUUCCCAAGGCCAAAACAAUAAUCAAAUCUAAAACCCAAAUGCUAGCCCCAAAGCCCAAACCAAGAGCCCAGCAAACACCACGUGAUGCUCCUCCCGUUAUGUUAAUUUAUUUUCGGAAUUAAUUAAACACCCAAUAUUACAACUAUAACAUCUCAUCCAUCCAAACUCUGAUUCCAUUGAUUCUUUUUCCUAAAUUCUUCUAGAAUCAUAUAUUAUCUACUCCUCCUAUUUUCAUCUCCAAUUGAGCUCAUUUUAUUUUAUGGUUGUGCUUGCUUGUGUUUAUUUGCCGGUGGUGUCGUUCCUGUCCGUAGGUGACGGAGUGAUCGAGGAGGAGCGCGCUGAGGAGCACGAAGACCAGUACCGCGAGCCGGAGCCAGAAGACCCGUACCACGAUCAGGAAGCUGCCGACGCAGGAUCCCGACUUUGUGCCGGAAGACUACGAGUAGAGCGUGUCCGCACCCAAGCUGAUCGAGUGGAGCCGUGAUGGAUGAAGAGCUAGUCCUACAUAUCGUUAUGAUAGUUGUUAUCCUAUGGUUGUUCUGUGUAGGUUUGUGUUGUCACCUUACUUCUCGUGUACGUAUUAAAUAAAAGCUCUGUAUGACUCUGGACUCCACUUGAUGUAACAUGUAUUGUGCCGGAGACUUAAUUUGGUAAUUAAUACAGGGUUUAGCCUU